UAUUGGUCAAUGGACGCAAGUCUGAACCAGCCAUGCCGCGUGAAGGAUGAAGGUCCUCUGGAUUGUAAACUUCUUUUAUCUGGGACGAAAACGGGAUUUUUAACUCAAUUGACGGUACCAGAGGAAUAAGCACCGGCUAACUUCGUGCCAGCAGCCGCGGUAAUACGGAGGGUGCGAGCGUUAUCCGGCUUUACUGGGUUUAACGGGUGCGUAGGUGGGCUUAUAAGUCAGUGGUGAAAUCUCC
RNAcentral lists this ribosomal RNA (244 nucleotides) under uncultured bacterium. RNAcentral's name for it is "partial 16S ribosomal RNA". It matches the Rfam family "Bacterial small subunit ribosomal RNA", at positions 362 to 604 of the family's 1533-position model. The record is from RNAcentral.